This 669-nucleotide unclassified non-coding RNA is filed under the name Hevea brasiliensis (rubber tree). The record is from RNAcentral. Lineage: Eukaryota; Viridiplantae; Streptophyta; Magnoliopsida; Malpighiales; Euphorbiaceae.
GUCAGCUCACUUUACACUUGGACACUCUCCUCCUUUCCUCCAACAACCAUGACAUUUUCGUCUUCUUAAAGCCAUCCAUCUGUUCAACAAUGCCAUCGAUUAAUGGAGAAAAAANNNNNNNNNNNNNGUUCCAUUGGGACUGGCUAUAAUGGUGGCAUAUCACAUAUGGCUUCUCUAUCGAAUCAUCAACCACCCUUCUAAGACUGUUAUAGGCGUCAAUACUAUCAACCGCCGCUUCUGGGUUCAGGCCAUGAUGGAAGACUCGGCCAAGAAUGGAGUUCUUGCUGUGCAGACUCUACGAAACAAUAUAAUGGCAUCAACCCUUCUGGCAUCCACGGCCAUCAUGCUCAGCUCCGUUAUUGCAGUGCUCAUGACCAGUGUCACCAAGGGUGAUCGAUCUGCUUGGAAUUUUUAGUAUGGGGAUACAAGUGAGUUGGGAUUGUACAUCAAGUUCUUCUCUAUAUUGGUAUGUUUCUUGGUGGCUUUCUUGCUGAAUGUGCAAUCCAUUAGGUAUUAUAGCCAUGCAAGCAUCCUUAUUAACGUACCCUUCAAGAAUUUGUUAGCUGAUCACAACCACCACCAUCUCACGGCGGAGUAUGUGGCUAGGUCUGUUAGUAGGGGUAGCUAUUUUUGGUCUUUAGGACUACGUGCCUUCUACUUCUCUUUCCC